This 393-nucleotide ribosomal RNA is filed under the name uncultured bacterium. RNAcentral's name for it is "bacterial SSU rRNA". It matches the Rfam family "Bacterial small subunit ribosomal RNA", at positions 96 to 524 of the family's 1533-position model. The record is from RNAcentral.
UGGCGCACGGGUGAGUAUCGCGUGGGAACCUGCCUUUUUCUGCGGGACAACGGUUGGAAACGACCGCUAAUACCGCAUACGCCCUACGGGGGAAAGGUCCGCCGGAGAGAGAGGGGCCCGCGUUUGAUUAGCUUGUUGGUGGGGUAAUGGCCUACCAAGGCGACGAUCAAUAGCUGGUCUGAGAGGAUGAUCAGCCACACUGGGACUGAGACACGGCCCAGACUCCUACGGGAGGCAGCAGUGGGGAAUAUUGGACAAUGGGGGCAACCCUGAUCCAGCAAUGCCGCGUGUGUGAUGAAGGCCUUAGGGUUGUAAAGCACUUUCACUGGUGAAGAUGAUGACGGUAACCAGAGAAGAAGCCCCGGCUUACUUCGUGCCAGCAGCCGCGGUAAU